AUAGCUUUAAACAGACAUAUCAUGUGAGAUGCUUGAAUAGACCAUGUAUACAUACUGCUUUCAUACAGCUUGAAAAAACAGCCAGCGAGUGUGCAGAUUACCGAAGCAUGCAGUGUCGUACAGGGAAGCAUUUUAAAUCUGAUGCUGCAGAAGACAACGUGCCCAAUAUGGGACGUGAAGACAGCUCAGGGAGACUAACACAGAUAACACGUUCAUGUCACAUAACUGUGAAGCCUUGUGUCAGAGGGAGGUAAAUCAAGAAAAACUGCACUGAACAUAGACCAAGUCACAGCUGCAAGAAGAGGAGUGUCAUGGAAACUGUUUUGAAGCCAGUGGCCCUGCACUGCCGGAGUGUUGUAGCUCCCUGAAAGGCAAACUUGUCCAGCUUAGUCAAAUCUGCCCAGGGCCAUGCUGAGCAUGUACCUUCCCCGGGCACUGCACAAGGACAACAUGAUGCUGCGGACUGAGAGUAGCUGGUAAAGCAAAGACAGGUAAAGGGAGACGUGGAAAUUCA
This is a long non-coding RNA of Harpia harpyja (harpy eagle), 514 nucleotides long. RefSeq lists it as uncharacterized. NCBI's taxonomy places the organism in Eukaryota, Metazoa, Chordata, Aves, Accipitriformes, Accipitridae. The record is from RefSeq and is a predicted model, not a curated record. The transcript has 3 exons.